This 492-nucleotide ribosomal RNA is filed under the name uncultured bacterium. RNAcentral describes it as "partial 16S ribosomal RNA". It matches the Rfam family "Bacterial small subunit ribosomal RNA", at positions 29 to 507 of the family's 1533-position model. The record is from RNAcentral.
AGUGAACGCUGGCGGUAGGCCUAACACAUGCAAGUCGAACGGCAGCACAGUAAGAGCUUGCUCUUACGGGUGGCGAGUGGCGGACGGGUGAGGAAUACAUCGGAAUCUACUUUUUCGUGGGGGAUAACGUAGGGAAACUUACGCUAAUACCGCAUACGACCUACGGGUGAAAGCAGGGGAUCUUCGGACCUUGCGCGAUUGAAUGAGCCGAUGUCGGAUUAGCUAGUUGGCGGGGUAAAGGCCCACCAAGGCGACGAUCCGUAGCUGGUCUGAGAGGAUGAUCAGCAACACUGGAACUGAGACACGGUCCAGACUCCUACGGGAGGCAGAAGGGGGGAAUAUUGGACAAUGGGCGAAAGCCUGAUCCAGCCAUACCGCGUGGGUAAAGAAGGCCUUCGGGUUGUAAAGCCCUUUUGUUGGGAAAGAAAAGCAGCAGGUUAAUACCCCGCUGUUCUGACGGUACCCAAAGAAUAAGCACCGGCUAACUUCGUG